CCUACGGGGGGCAGCAGUAGGGAAUCUUCCGCAAUGGGCGAAAGCCUGACGGAGCAACGCCGCGUGAGUGAUGAAGGUUUUCGGAUCGUAAAGCUCUGUUGCCAAGGAAGAACGUCCUUAAGAGUAACUGCUUAAGGAGUGACGGUACUUGAGAAGAAAGCCCCGGCUAACUACGUGCCAGCAGCCGCGGUAAUACGUAGGGGGCAAGCGUUGUCCGGAAUUAUUGGGCGUAAAGCGCGCGCAGGCGGUCAUUUAAGUCUGGUGUUUAAGCCCGGGGCUCAACCCCGGAUCGCACGGGAAACUGGAUGACUUGAGUGCAGAAGAGGAGAGUGGAAUUCCACGUGUAGCGGUGAAAUGCGUAGAGAUGUGGAGGAACACCAGUGGCGAAGGCGACUCUCUGGGCUGUAACUGACGCUGAGGCGCGAAAGCGUGGGGAGCA
Molecule: ribosomal RNA, 439 nt
Filed under: uncultured Paenibacillus sp.
Lineage: Bacteria; Bacillati; Bacillota; Bacilli; Caryophanales; Paenibacillaceae
Description: bacterial SSU rRNA
Rfam family: Bacterial small subunit ribosomal RNA
Source: RNAcentral